Phoenix dactylifera (date palm) is the source of this 2710-nucleotide RNA transcript. It is a transcript of the gene named oxysterol-binding protein-related protein 2A-like, with no coding region annotated. Lineage: Eukaryota; Viridiplantae; Streptophyta; Magnoliopsida; Arecales; Arecaceae. The record is from RefSeq and is a predicted model, not a curated record.
UUCUCUCUCUCUCUCUCUCUCUCUCUCUCUUUUUCUCUUUCUCUCUCUCGGAUUGACCAAGCCGUAAUUAAAUGAGUCUUCUUCUAAUGGAGUCCUCGGACUUCGAAUCCUCGUGAGAUCGAGUGCUCACGCGAUGCGAGCGAGGGAGAUGCAUCCGCUCUGCUGCAUUUCGAUCGACGGCCCCCGGGUCGGCGACCGCUCGCCGGAGCUGGCGGAACCGGAACCGGAGCCGGAGCUCUACGGCAUCGUCGAGGGCGAGGCCUCGUCGUCAGCGGUCGCCGUUGCCGGGGUGCUCUACAAGUGGAUCAACUUCGGGAAGGGGUGGCGAUCCCGGUGGUUCUCUCUCCGGAACGGUGUCCUCUGCUACUCCAAGAUCCCCCGAGGGGAGGAGGUCUCCUUCUCCGAGGGCGACCGCGUCCGCCUCAUCGGCACCGCCGCCUCCCGGCUUUCCCGGGCCAACGCCAGUGGCGGCCGACGGAACCCUCCGAAGCCGGUCGGCGUCGUUUAUCUCAAGGUCUCAUCAUUUCGUGUAAGUAAGACAGAUCAAAGACGUUUCUAUAUAUUUUCUCCUACGAAGACACUUCAAUUGAGAACUGAUUCAAAGAAAGAUCGUGUUGCCUGGAUUGAGGCUUUGAUCUCAGCAAGAAAUAAAUUUUUUGUUGAUAGAAGGAUAUCUUUUAUCCAGAAUGAUAUACCUAUUUCAACCAAAAGGCUAAGAGAUCGCAUGCAUGUGGAGGGAUUAGAUGAGGCACUUAUCAAGGAUUGUGAGCAGAUCAUGCUGUCAGAAUUUUCAGAGUUUCAGAGACAGUUGAAGCUUCGUUAUGAAGAACAUUUAAGCUUUCUUUGCACAUUUCAACAGCAGCUUGAGGAUAUUAAUGCUGACGAAGUGACCACAACAAUCCAUGAAGGUCAAUUGCAGUUGCUGAAGCAUGCAUAUGCUUGCUCUGGGCAUGGAAAAUACAGUGAAUAUAGUACCACAGAGUCAUCCGAUGAUGUUGAAAAGCAAGAGCUAGAUGAGUUGUCAGAUGAAGGCGAGCCUUACUUCUUUGACACGAAGGAGAGUUUUUGUGAUUCUACUGUUGUCUGUGCCUCUAAAAUAAGAGACUUAGACCAUGCCGAUAAAAGUUGUGGCACUGGAAAUUGCUCAGACACUGUGGAGAUGAUGGAUCUUGAAACAGAGCCAAAUGAUCAUAAUACAUUUCCAUAUAUCAGGAGGCGUUCAAAAUUGCCUGAUCCUAUUGAGAAGGAAAAAGGUGUUAGCCUUUGGUCAAUGAUCAAAGAUAAUGUUGGAAAGGAUCUUACACGAGUUUGCCUUCCCGUUUACUUUAAUGAACCACUAUCAACACUUCAGAAGUGCUUUGAGGACUUGGAAUACUCUUAUUUGUUGGAUCAAGCAUAUGAGUAUGGGAAAAUGGGGAACAGUCUCAUGAGAAUUCUGCAUGUAGCUGCCUUUGCAGUCUCUGGAUAUGCUUCUUCUGAUGGGCGCCACUGCAAACCAUUCAAUCCUUUGCUAGGGGAGACUUAUGAAGCUGACUUCCCUGAAAAAGGAAUUCGCUUCUUCUCUGAAAAGGUUAGCCACCACCCGACACUCAUUGCCUGCCACUCUGAAGGUAAAGGUUGGAAAUUCUGGGGUGACAGCAAUCUCAAAAGUAAAUUUUGGGGGCAAACUAUUCAAAUAGACCCUGUUGGUGUAUUGACACUGGAAUUUGAUGAUGGUGAAAUUUUUCAAUGGAGGAAGGUCACAACAACUAUUUAUAACCUCAUAUUUGGUAAAGUAUACUGUAACCACCAUGGAACAAUGAGUAUACUGGGCAACCAGCAAUAUUCAUGCAAACUGAAGUUCAAAGAGCAGUCUCUUCUCGAACGCAACCCUCGCCAGGUGCAAGGUUUUAUUGUGGAUGUCAAUGGAACUAAAGUUGCUACUUUGAUGGGAAAAUGGGAUGACAGCAUGUACUACACCAUAGAUGAUAUCUCCAAGACCAAGGGUUGUAUUUCAACACAAGAUGCUACCUUAUUGUGGAAAAGGAGUAAGCCUCCUGCUAAUCCCACUCGGUACAACUUGUCAUCAUUUGCAAUUACACUGAAUGAGCUAGCACCAGAAUUACAGGAGAAACUUCCACCUACGGAUUCAAGACUUCGACCAGAUCAAAGAUAUUUAGAGAAUGGGGAAUAUGAGAAGGCAAAUGCAGAGAAGCAGCGAUUGGAGAGAAGGCAGCGAAUGUCAAGAAAAUUGCAGGAGAAUGGCUGGAAGCCAAGAUGGUUUUGGAAGGAUAGUGAUGAUGGCACAUUUCGCUAUAUAGGUGGCUACUGGGAAGCAAGAGAACAGAGGAAAUGGGAUAAUUGCCCAGAUAUAUUUGGUGAAUUUUCUGAAGAUCAGAAUGUUCCUCCCAGUAAUUAAAGAGAAACCAAGUGAUCAGAUACCUUGUAGUCCAAUGAAAUUGCUGAUCGUAAUCGGAUAUAAUGUGGUUCGGUCUUGAGUGGCUCCAGUCCUGCCCAAGGCUCCCUUUCUCUUGAUGAAAUCAAUGUCUCCCUAAAGAGUUGUACAUCAGUUUCAUAUUUCCCCUUUAUGUUUCUUCUUACUGUCUUUGGGAUCAGAUCAAACUAAUUGUCAAGAGUACAAAGCAUUAGUACUGUGGAUUCUGAUUUUUCUUUUUUUGAAGAAACAUUCUAUAGACUAUGAUCAAAGCUGUAGAUUAUUUGUGGACAGGCA